RNAcentral lists this unclassified non-coding RNA (353 nucleotides) under Escherichia coli. The stretch from base 239 to 347 matches the Rfam family "Salmonella enterica Typhi npcRNA 44". The record is from RNAcentral. Lineage: Bacteria; Pseudomonadati; Pseudomonadota; Gammaproteobacteria; Enterobacterales; Enterobacteriaceae.
CCUUAAAGAAGCGUUCUUUGAAGUGCUCACACAGAUUGUCUGAUAGAAAGUGAAAAGCAAGGCGUCUUGCGAAGCAGACUGAUACGUCCCCUUCGUCUAGAGGCCCAGGACACCGCCCUUUCACGGCGGUAACAGGGGUUCGAAUCCCCUAGGGGACGCCACUUGCUGGUUUGUGAGUGAAAGUCACCUGCCUUAAUAUCUCAAAACUCAUCUUCGGGUGAUGUUUGAGAUAUUUGCUCUUUAAAAAUCUGGAUCAAGCUGAAAAUUGAAACACUGAACAACGAGAGUUGUUCGUGAGUCUCUCAAAUUUUCGCAACACGAUGAUGAAUCGAAAGAAACAUCUUCGGGUUGUG